RNAcentral lists this ribosomal RNA (160 nucleotides) under uncultured bacterium. RNAcentral describes it as "partial 16S ribosomal RNA". It matches the Rfam family "Bacterial small subunit ribosomal RNA", at positions 355 to 507 of the family's 1533-position model. The record is from RNAcentral.
UGGGGAAUUUUGGACAAUGGGCGAAAGCCUGAUCCAGCAAUGCCGCGUGCAGGAUGAAGGCCUUCGGGUUGUAAACUGCUUUUGUACGGAACGAAACGGCUCACCCUAAUACGGUGGGCUAAUGACGGUACCGUAAGAAUAAGCACCGGCUAACUACGUG